RNAcentral lists this unclassified non-coding RNA (478 nucleotides) under Ifloga decumbens. RNAcentral describes it as "Trichogyne decumbens partial contains external transcribed spacer and 18S rRNA gene". The stretch from base 425 to 478 matches the Rfam family "Eukaryotic small subunit ribosomal RNA", at positions 1 to 54 of the family's 1831-position model. Lineage: Eukaryota; Viridiplantae; Streptophyta; Magnoliopsida; Asterales; Asteraceae. The record is from RNAcentral.
UCGUAAAGGUGCAUGAGUGGUGUUUGGUUUGUUACGGGUGGUUGGCUCUUUGCUUGCGCAACAACUUCCACCUGGCAUACCUCUUCAGUUUUGCAUCAGUGCUUGUAUCGCACUGAAUGUAAGUUGGGUUUCCUGUGUUGCAUACCAAAUCGAUGGUAUCGAUUGAUCCGAUGAUGUCCCUUAUUCGUCUUGUGUUGCACUGCAAUACGAGAUGAACCUUGAAGUAACCUUUAUGAUCCACUCUUUUGAUGCACAAGCGUUGAUAGUGUGGCCCAUUAAGUUUGCUUGGUCUCAUGGGUAUGGAACCUAGUGUGGGCAUGGGAUCUUAGCCGUUCCCUAAUUGCCCUUAUCUAAGCUUCUGUAAUACGAUUAGCUACCAUAUAGGGCAUGUCUCUAUGUGGUAGUCUAUGUCGAAGAUGGAUGCUACCUGGUUGAUCCUGCCAGUAGUCAUAUGCUUGUCUCAAAGAUUAAGCCAUGC